Long non-coding RNA from Peromyscus maniculatus bairdii (prairie deer mouse), 1639 nucleotides. RefSeq lists it as uncharacterized. Lineage: Eukaryota; Metazoa; Chordata; Mammalia; Rodentia; Cricetidae. The record is from RefSeq and is a predicted model, not a curated record.
UGUUGAUAUGCCAGUGUACGCAGUGAGAGCUAAUGUAUCCAAAGACUGUAGUCCUUUGUUUUUCCUACCUGUUUUUUUUUUUUUUUUUUUUUUUUUUUUUACAACAGCAAUACUGACUUAAUAAGAGAAGAGAACAGAGAACUGGUCCCAACACCUAGCAGCCUGUGCUCCAGAGUGCCCUGGGGAUGAGACUCAAGUGAAGGCCUAUUUCUACAGUAGUGCAGAUAAAUGUAGCUGCCACCCCUCAUUAAAGAAGCAUCUCUGUACAGCAAAUGGAAGCCAUCAUAGAAAACCACAACUGGACAUAAUUCAGAGAUCAACAGAUCGAAGGGAGCCCAGAACCAAUAACUGCAUCUGUAGCAGAGCUCCUGCAUUUAUGGAGCAGAUGCACCCAUGGACUGUAUCAGUUUUAUCCAGAACUCCAAAAGAAAGUGCUGAUGGUUAUAUGGACACACACCUGGCUUAAAUUUGAGCUAGCGAAUAAAACAAGAAAUUGACCUCUAAUGCGAAAUGUCAACCAUACUAUUGUAUUUUUUUUUUUUUUGUAGGAGGGAAGGCUCUCCCUCAUUAAGUUUUUCAAGCUGUCUGCCUCCAUGACAGAUACAUGGUAACUAACUGUGGGUACAGACUCUCAUCCCAAGUAUAUCCUGCUAGUAGCUCAAGGUAGAUAGAGGUAAAUGUAGGUACAUUUGUCAGCUUGAUACCCCUUGAACAUGAGUUCUGGUUUCUGUGUAUCCAUACCCUAAAAAGUUUAAAGCCAUCAGAGGAUGACCCUGUAAAGGAAAAAAAAAUCGUUCUGUCUCUUGUCAGUCCCAUUCCUGAUGUGUAACCCAGCAGACGACAAGACUCAUCUGGACAAAUCUCAAUAACAAUAUUUGAUGUACAGAUUACAGGACAGGCAUUUUGCAUCUGGUCAGGGACUCAACAGUAAGUCUGUCUAGUGUAAACCGCUUGGUAGAUUUAUUCUCUCUUUUCUGAUGAUUUAAAAAGUGACAUUUGCUAUCUUCAUCUUUACAGAGGGGUAAAUGCUUCUGUGAAUACAUUAUAUCAGUAAACUAUCAUGUGCCGUUUAAGUUCACGAAGACGCUGACACUCGAGCUGGGACUCGGCCGUCUCAUGCCAUACCCAGCCAUGUUAGUCUCAAGGUUUUCUAUACAGCCACCUGCUCUGAGUCAAGCUGCCAUCCCGCAUCUGUGACAGAGAAAAAGGAGACCAACAAAACAGCUCAGGACUGAAGACACUGCCCUUGAAGGCUGCUACGGGAAAAUUAGAAAUGGACAUUAAGAUGUCUGUAGCAGAAACAGCUAAUGGGAUAUUCAUCCAUGGAGAGGAUAGAAAAGAAUGUUAGUCUAAAAACUUCAACCACCAACUGUCAGGGACAAGGACAGAAUCUCUAGUUAGUGGAAAAAUACUGACCCCCUCUCAUAAGACAGGCAACUAGAUCAGCUUACAGUCAGGUUGCCUAGCAAUAGGACAUUGAGUCAGAGCCCUUGACCCUCUCACCCUGUAAACAUCCUAUACAAACAUCCUGUUAGCUUGCCCUACCUUAUGCAGAUGACAGCUUCUUGCUCCCCGCACCCUGCAGAAACUAUAUAAAUCCUUGUGGAAGGAAAUAAAGUGGCACCUUGAUCAGAAUCUA